UGGACACAAUAUAAAAAUGUACCUAGCCAAAAAAAUAAAGCUACUAUAGGCAAUAUGGGCAUUUAGUAAAUUCCUUUUAUUGUUUAUUGUUUGUUGGGUGUUUUUAUUUUUUGGGCUUUUUAUUCUUUGUUUGA
Molecule: non-coding RNA, 134 nt
Filed under: Pteridomonas danica
Lineage: Eukaryota; Dictyochophyceae; Pedinellales
Source: RNAcentral